GACGAACGCUGGCGGCGUGCUUAACACAUGCAAGUCGAACGGAAAGGCCCUGCUUUUGUGGGGUGCUCGAGUGGCGAACGGGUGAGUAACACGUGAGUAACCUGCCCUUGACUUUGGGAUAACUUCGGGAAACGGGGGCUAAAACGGAAUGGAGCCUCCGGCGGCAGGGGGGGGGUUGGAAGGUUUCGGCGGUUGGGGAUGGACUCGCGGCUUAUCAGCUUGUUGGUGGGGUAGUGGCUUACCAAGGCUUUGACGGGUAGCCGGCCUGAGAGGGUGACCGGCCACAUUGGGACUGAGAUACGGCCCAGACUCCUACGGGAGGCAGCAGUGGGGAAUAUUGCACAAUGGGCGGAAGCCUGAUGCAGCAACGCCGCGUGCGGGAUGACGGCCUUCGGGUUGUAAACCGCUUUCGCCUGUGACGAAGCGUGAGUGACGGUAAUGGGUAAAGAAGCACCGGCUAACUACGUG
RNAcentral lists this ribosomal RNA (468 nucleotides) under uncultured bacterium. RNAcentral's name for it is "partial 16S ribosomal RNA". It matches the Rfam family "Bacterial small subunit ribosomal RNA", at positions 28 to 507 of the family's 1533-position model. The record is from RNAcentral.